Metopolophium dirhodum (rose-grain aphid) is the source of this 1732-nucleotide long non-coding RNA. RefSeq lists it as uncharacterized. The record is from RefSeq and is a predicted model, not a curated record. Lineage: Eukaryota; Metazoa; Arthropoda; Insecta; Hemiptera; Aphididae. The transcript is spliced from 6 exons.
AUAAAUACAUAAUAAUAUUAUUUUUUCGUUUGCCGACGUUUGAAUCACUCGCGAAUCGCAAUUAUUUGAAAUUUGAACAGAAAUACAGACUACAGUCGUGCAAAGUUCUAUUGAUACAUUUUAGUACAAAAUCACCAUGGAUAAGUGUAUUCUUUUUAGUAAAACAUCCAAACUAUCGCCCCGCCACAUUACGUUAAUUUUCAUUUAUUUCCAAAAAAUCAACGAAUUAAAUGAUUAUCCCAAUUUCUACCCGACAUAGAAUCUGCGGUGAUCAUUUCACAAUCAGUGAUUGUAAACAAUGCUCAGUAAAUUAGUAAACAUGGUCAGAGGCAGUCACAAAACAGAAUCCAAACCACUUAUCUGGGAUAGAGAAGUAAAAUUAAUUUUAGUCAUUUACGGCAACAUUGGUACUACUCUGAGCACGACCAGGAAAUCACAUCUAAGAGAAAACAGUGUUUCUCCAACGAUGAGUUAGCAGAAAAUGAACAGCGAAUAAAGGAUUUGGAGGCCUUACAGUUGAUGAGUUUAAUUCGCCCAGAAAAGUCUUUGAUACUUAAUAAUGUCUAAUUCACACACACUUAUUUCAUACAAUGGAUUAUUGUUUUCUAAACAGAAAUAUAUGAUGUACCACAUACAAGGAACUAAGAAGUGGAGCCAAUGUGUUGACAAUUUUUCAGACGUCGAACUAUGAAACUUAAAGGUGGUAAUGUUGUUGGUAAUACAAUUUUGCUGAGCAAGAAUCCAAUUUUAAUAACGCCGAGGGCCUCAACACAUUUAAAUUGCAAAGAAACACGUAACUUGUCUGGACAUUGCUAUCUUUUCUGAAGGGAAAGCACAUCUGGUUGUAUGCUUUGGACAGUUUGUCAAUCCCAUUUACAACGAGGCAAGACAAACUUCUUUGCAAAAACAGUAUGCAAUUACCAAAAAGCUCCAGUAGCUGUUAUUAAAAUUCUUCAACUAUCAACAAUGGACAUGAUCGAUGUAGACUUUUAAAUUAUGUAUAUUGUUAUACGUACUAUUUCCUUAAAUUUGUAAUUAUUUUUCCUGUGUUUCCCCCCCCCCUCUCAUCACCCAUGAGAAGGAUUAAUUAGUUACUUUAUUUGAUCAAAAAAAACUAUACCUAUGCACUUUGGAGUAAUGUUUGUAAAUAAAAUUAUUUUGUCAAUGACGUAUUUAUAAUUAUAAGAAAACUUUAUUUAAAAUUUUAUAACAAAAAAGAAAAGUAUUUAAAAUCUUUAUAAAUUAUACUAUCAUACUUUUUAUAUUUGUCGUAUUUAUAGUUUAAUUGUAAUUUAAAAUUUAGAAAUAUAUGACAAAUUUGUUGUAAUUUAUUGUUAUACUUAAUCUUUUUUUUUUAAUUUCCCGUUAGCAUCAGUUAUUUUUACAUACUAGAUAAAUUCUUACUGAAUAAGAGAAAAUAAAUUGUAAUAUAAUGUAAGAUUUGACUGUAGUAAACAAUAGACAUAUAAAACAAAUUGUUUUUUGUCUGGAUAUUGCAGAACUUAAAAGUAAACCUUGUGAUUAAUAUGUUAAUUUCAACUUUUUAAUUUAAGCAUUUCAGUUUUUAUUAAAUUAAUUUCUUUACAUUGUAUUAUGAUUAGAGAGCGGAUUUGUAUGCAUUUGCAUAUUUAUUCUGGUUGAUCUUACACUAUGCUGAGUGACCACAGAAUUUGUUUUUAUGACCAUAACGAUUUAAACUGGAACUGCUGCAUAUUUCGAUAAUUAAUUCAUU